Long non-coding RNA from Homo sapiens (human), 1101 nucleotides. RefSeq lists it as uncharacterized. The transcript is spliced from 5 exons. The record is from RefSeq and is a predicted model, not a curated record. Lineage: Eukaryota; Metazoa; Chordata; Mammalia; Primates; Hominidae.
CUUGCACCAGUGGCUUCCCCGAGGCUCUCAGGCCCCCGGCCUCAGACUGAAGACUGCACUGCGGGCUUUCCUGGUUUUGAGGCUUUUGGACUUGGACUGAGCCACUACUAGCUUCUCUCUUUCCCUACCUGGCAGACAGCCUGUUGUGGGACUGCCUUCUAACCGUGUGAACCAAUUCUCUCUGGGAGCUUAUAGCUUCAUUGCACUGUGUGUGGCAUUUGGGUCCUGUUUGACAGCAAUGACUGCCUUUCUGUUUAGUGUCUGUGUGCUAUGAAGAUUGCACACAGGGGUCCAGAUGCAUCCUGUUUUGAGAAUGUUAAUGGAUACACCAGCUGCUGCUUUGGAUUUCACCCAUUGGUGGUAGUGGACCCGCUGUUUGGAAUGCAGACAAUUUAAGUGAAGACAUAUCCAUAUAUGUGGCUCUGUUACAAUGGUGAAAUCUACAACCAUAAGAAGCCAAAAAUGUGAGUAUGACAUACAAAGAGAAAUACAUCAAGGACUUUUCAUCCUCAUAGUUUGCCAGUGAUGCUGGAGAGUGUCAGAAUUGGUGCAGCACCAGUUUGAAUUUGAAUACCAGACCAAAGUGGAUGGUGAGAUAAUCCUUCAUCUUUAUGACAAAGGAGGAAUUGAGCAAACAAUUUGUACGUUGGUUGGUGUGUUUGCAUUUGUUUUACUGGAUUCUGCCAAUAAGAAAGUGUCCCUGGACAGAGAUACAUAAGGAGUCAGACCUUUGUUUAAAGCAGUGACAGAAGAUGGAUUUUUGGCUGUGCGUUCAGAAGCUAAAGAAUUGUAAUUGUUCCUUAUGUACGCCAGACACAAAUCCCUUGUGUUCAUCAGGGUUGCAGGAUACAAGAUCAAUAUACAAAAAUCAAUAGUAUUUGACACACUUUAACUGAGUACUACAUACUCACAAUGAGCAAUCAGAAAAUGAAAUUAAGAAAGCAACUUCAUUUAUCAUAGCAUCAACAAGAAUAAAAUACUGAUAUAUUUAAGAAGUGUAAAACUUGUACUCUGAAAACUAUAGAACAUUUUUGAAAGAAAUGAAAGAAGAUCUAAAUAAAUGUAAAAGUAUCCCAUGAUCAUGGACCUAAGGCUUAACAU